RNAcentral lists this ribosomal RNA (468 nucleotides) under uncultured bacterium. RNAcentral describes it as "partial 16S ribosomal RNA". It matches the Rfam family "Bacterial small subunit ribosomal RNA", at positions 28 to 507 of the family's 1533-position model. The record is from RNAcentral.
GACGAACGCUGGCGGCGUGCUUAACACAUGCAAGUCGAACGGAAAGGCCCUGCUUUUGUGGGGUGCUCGAGUGGCGAACGGGUGAGUAACACGUGAGUAACCUGCCCUUGACUUUGGGAUAACUUCAGGAAACUGGGGCUAAUACCGGAUAGGAUCUCCUGCUGCAUGGUGGGGGUUGGAAAGUUUCGGCGGUUGGGGAUGGACUCGCGGCUUAUCAGCUUGUUUGUGGGGUAGUGGCUUACCAAGGCUUUGACGGGUAGCCGGCCUGAGAGGGUGACCGGCCACAUUGGGACUGAGAUACGGACCAGACUCCUACGGGAGGCAGCAGUGGGGAAUAUUGCACAAUGGGCGGAAGCCUGAUGCAGCAACGCCGCGUGCGGGAUGACGGCCUUCGGGUUGUAAACCGCUUUCGCCUGUGACGAAGCGUGAGUGACGGUAAUGGGUAAAGAAGCACCGGCUAACUACGUG